UCAGGACGAACGCUGGCGGCGUGCUUCAUACAUGCAAGUCGAACGAGAAUCUCUAGCUUGCUAGAGAGGAAAGUGGCGGACGGGUGAGUAAUAUGUAGAGAAUCUGCCCUUGAGUGGGGGACAACAGAGGGAAACUUCUGCUAAUACCCCAUAUGAGCUUAGUUGAAAUACUAAUCUUGAAAACUCCGGUGCUCAAGGAUGAGUCUGCAUCUGAUUAGCUAGUUGGCGGUGUAAUGGACCACCAAGGCGACGAUCAGUAGCUGGUUUGAGAGGAUGAUCAGCCACAAUGGGACUGAGACACGGCCCAUACUCCUACGGGAGGCAGCAGUAGGGAAUUUUGCGCAAUGGGCGAAAGCCCUGACGCAGCAACGCCGCGUGAACGAGAAGCCCUUCGGGGUGUAAAGUUCUGUCAGUAGGGACGAAUCUUGACGGUACCUACAGAGGAAGCACCGGCUAACUCCGUGCCAGCCGCGGC
Molecule: ribosomal RNA, 475 nt
Filed under: uncultured bacterium
Lineage: Bacteria
Description: bacterial SSU rRNA
Rfam family: Bacterial small subunit ribosomal RNA
Source: RNAcentral